AUACGGAGGAUGCGAGCGUUAUCCGGAUUUAUUGGGUUUAAAGGGAGCGUAGGUGGGAUAUUAAGUCAGCUGUGAAAGUUUGGGGCUCAACCUUAAAAUUGCAGUUGAUACUGGUUUCCUUGAGUACGGUAUAGGUGGGCGGAAUUCGUGGUGUAGCGGUGAAAUGCUUAGAUAUCACGAAGAACUCCGAUCGCGAAGGCAGCUCACCGGGCCGGAACUGACACUGAUGCUCGAAAGUGCGGGUAUCAAACAGGAUUAGAUAACCUGGUAGUCCGCACAGUAAACGAUGAAUACUCGCUGUUUGCGAUACACUGUAAGCGGCCAAGCGAAAGCGUUAAGUGUUCCACCUGGGGAGUACGCCGGCAACGGUGAAACUCAAAUGAAUUGACGGGG
Molecule: ribosomal RNA, 393 nt
Filed under: uncultured bacterium
Lineage: Bacteria
Description: partial 16S ribosomal RNA
Rfam family: Bacterial small subunit ribosomal RNA
Source: RNAcentral